UCCUCAGUAGCUCAGUGGUAGAGCAGUCGGCUGUUAACCGAUUAGUCGUAGGUUCAAAUCCUACUUGGGGAG
Molecule: transfer RNA, 72 nt
Filed under: Phyllocladus trichomanoides (celery pine)
Lineage: Eukaryota; Viridiplantae; Streptophyta; Pinopsida; Araucariales; Podocarpaceae
Also listed under: 1 other name
Description: tRNA-Asn
Rfam family: tRNA
About the family: Transfer RNA (tRNA) molecules are approximately 80 nucleotides in length. Their secondary structure includes four short double-helical elements and three loops (D, anti-codon, and T loops). Further hydrogen bonds mediate the characteristic L-shaped molecular structure. tRNAs have two regions of fundamental functional importance: the anti-codon, which is responsible for specific mRNA codon recognition, and the 3' end, to which the tRNAs corresponding amino acid is attached (by aminoacyl-tRNA synthetases). tRNAs cope with the degeneracy of the genetic code in two manners: having more than one tRNA (with a specific anti-codon) for a particular amino acid; and 'wobble' base-pairing, i.e. permitting non-standard base-pairing at the 3rd anti-codon position.
Source: RNAcentral